AAGAAGCUUUCAUUUUUAUUUUUACUUUUUUAAAGAUUGCUUAUGGUCUCAUGCAACGCCUAUUUUGUUCUUGGAAGAUAAUGUUAUUCUGAAAUCUGAUGUUUCAUAAUGUCACUUUAUGUUUUGUGUUUUCAAAAUUCUUCUUGUUUUCUAGAAAAAUGAUGAUUCUCAAGGCUUUCGGAAGGUUUCAUUUUGUUUCCCCCAUCUUUCACAAGCAAAGUUCCUGAUUUGUGCAAGCAAACGAUUAGGCCUAUAUUAAGUCUUCUUUUGAAGUUGAAAACUUACUCCACAGCCCAGGGGAAAAAAAUUCUGAAAACUACCUCAUCCUUCACAAUCUAGUCCCUUUAUUUUUCCCCUAAAAUUCUUCUCUUAUUUCUCAGAAAAGUCAUAAUUUUAAGAAUUUUCAGAACGUAUCAUUUUAAUUUUUCUAAAGAUUGGAUAUGAUUUCAUUCAGUGACAAUUUUGAGCUUGAAAGAUAAUGUCCUUUCGAAAACUACCUGGAGCCCCACAAUCCAGAUCCUUUAUUAUUAUUAUUAUUUUU
This 541-nucleotide unclassified non-coding RNA is filed under the name Hevea brasiliensis (rubber tree). Lineage: Eukaryota; Viridiplantae; Streptophyta; Magnoliopsida; Malpighiales; Euphorbiaceae. The record is from RNAcentral.